RNAcentral lists this ribosomal RNA (558 nucleotides) under Borrelia miyamotoi. RNAcentral's name for it is "bacterial SSU rRNA". It matches the Rfam family "Bacterial small subunit ribosomal RNA", at positions 431 to 1007 of the family's 1533-position model. Lineage: Bacteria; Pseudomonadati; Spirochaetota; Spirochaetia; Spirochaetales; Borreliaceae. The record is from RNAcentral.
CUUUGUAGGAAAUGACAAAGCGAUGACGUUAAUUUAUGAAUAAGCCCCGGCUAAUUACGUGCCAGCAGCCGCGGUAAUACGUAAGGGGCGAGCGUUGUUCGGGAUCAUUGGGCGUAAAGGGUGAGUAGGCGGAUAUGCAAGUCUAUGUGUAAAAUACCACAGCUCAACUGUGGAACUAUGCUGGAAACUGCAUGACUAGAGUCUGAUAGGGGAAGUUAGAAUUCUUGGUGUAAGGGUGGAAUCUGUUGAUAUCAGGAAGAAUACCAGAGGCGAAGGCGGACUUCUAGGUCAAGACUGACGCUGAGUCACGAAAGCGUAGGGAGCAAACAGGAUUAGAUACCCUGGUAGUCUACGCUGUAAACGAUGCACACUUGGUGUUAAUCGAAAGGUUAGUACCGAAGCUAACGUGUUAAGUGUGCCGCCUGGGGAGUAUGUUCGCAAGAAUGAAACUCAAAGGAAUUGACGGGGGCCCGCACAAGCGGUGGAGCAUGUGGUUUAAUUCGAUGAUACGCGAGGAACCUUACCAGGGCUUGACAUAUACAGGAUAUAGUUAGAGAU